Gigantopelta aegis is the source of this 3674-nucleotide long non-coding RNA. RefSeq lists it as uncharacterized. The transcript has 18 exons. NCBI's taxonomy places the organism in Eukaryota, Metazoa, Mollusca, Gastropoda, Neomphalida, Peltospiridae. The record is from RefSeq and is a predicted model, not a curated record.
CUUUUUUUAUUAUUAUACAGGCGGCGUUUCUCUUAAUGCAGGGGAAACGUUUAACCGAGAUUGCGAUGGGUCGUGUUACGUGCAUGGAAACUUGCUGACGUCAAUCCAGGGAAUAUCCGAAGACACCAAACCCUGGGAGUGAAAACGCCUUUCCGAGAUGCAAUGAGUCGUGCGAUGUGGAUGGACAUGGAAAUAUCCCAAACCCAGGGAUCCCAUACGACACCAAAGCCGUGGCGGCGUUUCUCUUAAUGCAGGGGAAACGUUUAACGGAGAUUGCGAUGGGUCGUGUUACGUGCAGUGAAACUUGCUGACGUCAAUCCAGGGAAUAUCCGAAGACACCAAACCCUGGGAGUGAAAACGCCUUUCCGAGAUGCAAUGAGUCGUGCGAUGUGGAUGGACAUGGAAAUAUCCCAAACCCAGGGAUCCCAUACGACACCAAAGCCGUGGCGGCGUUUCUCUUAAUGCAGGGGAAACGUUUAACCAAGAUUGCGAUGGGUCGUGUUACGUGCAUGGAAACUUGCUGACGUCAAUCCAGGGAAUAUCCGAAGACACCAAACCCUGGGAGUGAAAACGCCUUUCCGAGAUGCAAUGAGUCGUGCGAUGUGGAUGGAAAUGGAAAUAUCCCAAACCCAGGGAUCCCAUACGACACCAAAGCCGUGGCGGCGUUUCUCUUAAUGCAGGGGAAACGUUUAACCGAGAUUGCGAUGGGUCGUGUUACGUGCAUGGAAACUUGCUGACGUCAAUCCAGGGAAUAUCCGAAGACACCAAACCCUGGGAGUGAAAACGCCUUUCCGAGAUGCAAUGAGUCGUGCGAUGUGGAUGGACAUGGAAAUAUCCCAAACCCAGGGAUCCCAUACGACACCAAAGCCGUGGCGGCGUUUCUCUUAAUGCAGGGGAAACGUUUAACCGAGAUUGCGAUGGGUCGUGUUACGUGCAGUGAAACUUGCUGACGUCAAUCCAGGGAAUAUCCGAAGACACCAAACCCUGGGAGUGAAAACGCCUUUCCGAGAUGCAAUGAGUCGUGCGAUGUGGAUGGACAUGGAAAUAUCCCAAACCCAGGGAUCCCAUACGACACCAAAGCCGUGGCGGCGUUUCUCUUAAUGCAGGGGAAACGUUUAACCGAGAUUGCGAUGGGUCGUGUUACGUGCAUGGAAACUUGCUGACGUCAAUCCAGGGAAUAUCCGAAGACACCAAACCCUGGGAGUGAAAACGCCUUUCCGAGAUGCAAUGAGUCGUGCGAUGUGGAUGGACAUGGAAAUAUCCCAAACCCAGGGAUCCCAUACGACACCAAAGCCGUGGCGGCGUUUCUCUUAAUGCAGGGGAAACGUUUAACCGAGAUUGCGAUGGGUCGUGUUACGUGCAUGGAAACUUGCUGACGUCAAUCCAGGGAAUAUCCGAAGACACCAAACCCUGGGAGUGAAAACGCCUUUCCGAGAUGCAAUGAGUCGUGCGAUGUGGAUGGACAUGGAAAUAUCCCAAACCCAGGGAUCCCAUACGACACCAAAGCCGUGGCGGCGUUUCUCUUAAUGCAGGGGAAACGUUUAACCGAGAUUGCGAUGGGUCGUGUUACGUGCAUGGAAACUUGCUGACGUCAAUCCAGGGAAUAUCCGAAGACACCAAACCCUGGGAGUGAAAACGCCUUUCCGAGAUGCAAUGAGUCGUGCGAUGUGGAUGGACAUGGAAAUAUCCCAAACCCAGGGAUCCCAUACGACACCAAAGCCGUGGCGGCGUUUCUCUUAAUGCAGGGGAAACGUUUAACCGAGAUUGCGAUGGGUCGUGUUACGUGCAUGGAAACUUGCUGACGUCAAUCCAGGGAAUAUCCGAAGACACCAAACCCUGGGAGUGAAAACGCCUUUCCGAGAUGCAAUGAGUCGUGCGAUGUGGAUGGACAUGGAAAUAUCCCAAACCUAGGGAUCCCAUACGACACCAAAGCCGUGGCGGCGUUUCUCUUAAUGCAGGGGAAACGUUUAACCGAGAUUGCGAUGGGUCGUGUUACGUGCAUGGAAACUUGCUGACGUCAAUCCAGGGAAUAUCCGAAGACACCAAACCCUGGGAGUGAAAACGCCUUUCCGAGAUGCAAUGAGUCGUGCGAUGUGGAUGGACAUGGAAAUAUCCCAAACCCAGGGAUCCCAUACGACACCAAAGCCGUGGCGGCGUUUCUCUUAAUGCAGGGGAAACGUUUAACCGAGAUUGCGAUGGGUCGUGUUACGUGCAUGGAAACUUGCUGACGUCAAUCCAGGGAAUAUCCGAAGACACCAAACCCUGGGAGUGAAAACGCCUUUCCGAGAUGCAAUGAGUCCGUGCGAUGUGGAUGGACAUGGAAAUAUCCCAAACCCAGGGAUCCCAUACGACACCAAAGCCGUGGCGGCGGUUCUCUUAAUGCAGGGGAAACGUUUAACCGAGAUUGCGAUGGGUCGUGUUACGUGCAUGGAAACUUGCUGACGUCAAUCCAGGGAAUAUCCGAAGACACCAAACCCUGGGAGUGAAAACGCCUUUCCGAGAUGCAAUGAGUCGUGCGAUGUGGAUGGACAUGGAAAUAUCCCAAACCCAGGGAUCCCAUACGACACCAAAGCCGUGGCGGCGUUUCUCUUAAUGCAGGGGAAACGUUUAACCGAGAUUGCGAUGGGUCGUGUUACGUGCAUGGAAACUUGCUGACGUCAAUCCAGGGAAUAUCCGAAGACACCAAACCCUGGGAGUGAAAACGCCUUUCCGAGAUGCAAUGAGUCGUGCGAUGUGGAUGGACAUGGAAAUAUCCCAAACCCAGGGAUCCCAUACGACACCAAAGCCGUGGCGGCGUUUCUCUUAAUGCAGGGGAAACGUUUAACCGAGAUUGCGAUGGGUCGUGUUACGUGCAUGGAAACUUGCUGACGUCAAUCCAGGGAAUAUCCGAAGACACCAAACCCUGGGAGUGAAAACGCCUUUCCGAGAUGCAAUGAGUCGUGCGAUGUGGAUGGACAUGGAAAUAUCCCAAACCCAGGGAUCCCAUACGACACCAAAGCCGUGGCGGCGUUUCUCUUAAUGCAGGGGAAACGUUUAACCGAGAUUGCGAUGGGUCGUGUUACGUGCAUGGAAACUUGCUGACGUCAAUCCAGGGAAUAUCCGAAGACACCAAACCCUGGGAGUGAAAACGCCUUUCCGAGAUGCAAUGAGUCGUGCGAUGUGGAUGGAAAUGGAAAUAUCCCAAACCCAGGGAUCCCAUACGACACCAAAGCCGUGGCGGCGUUUCUCUUAAUGCAGGGGAAACGUUUAACCGAGAUUGCGAUGGGUCGUGUUACGUGCAUGGAAACUUGCUGACGUCAAUCCAGGGAAUAUCCGAAGACACCAAACCCUGGGAGUGAAAAUGCCUUUCCGAGAUGCAAUGAGUCGUGCGAUGUGGAUGGACAUGGAAAUAUCCCAAUCCCAGGGAUCCCAUACGACACCAAAGCCGUGGCGGCGUUUCUCUUAAUGCAGGGGAAACGUUUAACCGAGAUUGCGAUGGGUCGUGUUACGUGCAUGGAAACUUGCUGACGUCAAUCCAGGGAAUAUCCGAAGACACCAAACCCUGGGAGUGAAAACGCCUUUCCGAGAUGCAAUGAGUCGUGCGAUGUGGAUGGACAUGGAAAUAUCCCAAUCCCAGGGAUCCCAUACGACACCAAAGCCGUGGCGGCGUUUCUCUUAAUGCAGGGGAAACGUUU